This 494-nucleotide ribosomal RNA is filed under the name uncultured bacterium. RNAcentral's name for it is "partial 16S ribosomal RNA". It matches the Rfam family "Bacterial small subunit ribosomal RNA", at positions 28 to 507 of the family's 1533-position model. The record is from RNAcentral.
GACGAACGCUGGCGGCGUGCUUAACACAUGCAAGUCGAACGGUGAAGCGCCUUCCUUUUUGGUGGGUGUGGAUGAGUGGCGAACGGGUGAGUAACACGUGAGUAACCUGCCCCCUUCUUCUGGAUAACCGCAUGAAAGUGUGGCUAAUACGGGAUAUUCUGGGUCUGUCGCAUGAUGGGUCUGGGAAAGAUAUUGUUUCGGUGGGGGAUGGGCUCGCGGCCUAUCAGCUUGUUGGUGGGGUGAUGGCCUACCAAGGCGGUGACGGGUAGCCGGCCUGAGAGGGUGGACGGUCACACUGGGACUGAGACACGGCCCAGACUCCUACGGGAGGCAGAAGUGGGGAAUAUUGCACAAUGGGCGAAAGCCUGAUGCAGCGACGCCGCGUGAGGGAUGGAGGCCUUCGGGUUGUGAACCUCUUUCGCCAGUGAAGCAGGCCUGCCUCGUUUGUGGGUGGGUUGACGGUAGCUGGAUAAGAAGCGCCGGCUAACUACGUG